This 2893-nucleotide ribosomal RNA is filed under the name Acinetobacter baumannii. RNAcentral's name for it is "23S ribosomal RNA". It matches the Rfam family "Bacterial large subunit ribosomal RNA". Lineage: Bacteria; Pseudomonadati; Pseudomonadota; Gammaproteobacteria; Moraxellales; Moraxellaceae. The record is from RNAcentral.
AGUCAAGUAAUUAAGUGCAUGUGGUGGAUGCCUUGGCAGUCAGAGGCGAUGAAAGACGUGAUAGCCUGCGAAAAGCUCCGGGGAGGCGGCAAAUAUCCUUUGAUCCGGAGAUGUCUGAAUGGGGGAACCCACCUACUUUAAGGUAGGUAUUGCAACAUGAAUACAUAGUGUUGCAAGGCGAACGAGGGGAAGUGAAACAUCUCAGUACCCUUAGGAAAAGAAAUCAAUUGAGAUUCCCUCAGUAGCGGCGAGCGAACGGGGAUCAGCCCAUUAAGUUAUGUGUGUUUUAGUGGAACGCUCUGGGAAGUGCGAACGUAGAGGGUGAUAUUCCCGUACACGAAAGGGCACACAUAAUGAUGACGAGUAGGGCGAGGCACGUGAAACCUUGUCUGAAUAUGGGGGGACCAUCCUCCAAGGCUAAAUACUCCUGACUGACCGAUAGUGAACCAGUACCGUGAGGGAAAGGCGAAAAGAACCCCUGUGAGGGGAGUGAAAUAGAUCCUGAAACCGCAUGCAUACAAGCAGUGGGAGCACCUUCGUGGUGUGACUGCGUACCUUUUGUAUAAUGGGUCAGCGACUUAUAUUCAGUAGCGAGGUUAACCGUAUAGGGGAGCCGUAGAGAAAUCGAGUCUUAAUAGGGCGUUUAGUUGCUGGGUAUAGACCCGAAACCAGGCGAUCUAUCCAUGAGCAGGUUGAAGGUUGGGUAACACUAACUGGAGGACCGAACCCACUGUCGUUGAAAAGCCAGGGGAUGACUUGUGGAUAGGGGUGAAAGGCUAAUCAAGCCUGGUGAUAGCUGGUUCUCCCCGAAAGCUAUUUAGGUAGCGCCUCGGACGAAUACCAUAGGGGGUAGAGCACUGUUUCGGCUAGGGGGUCAUCCCGACUUACCAAACCGAUGCAAACUCCGAAUACCUAUGAGUACUAUCCGGGAGACAGACUGCGGGUGCUAACGUCCGUAGUCAAGAGGAAAACAAUCCAGACCGCCAGCUAAGGCCCCAAAAUCAUAGUUAAGUGGGAAACGAUGUGGGAAGGCAUAGACAGCUAGGAGGUUGGCUUAGAAGCAGCCACCCUUUAAAGAAAGCGUAAUAGCUCACUAGUCGAGUCGGCCUGCGCGGAAGAUGUAACGGGGCUAAAACUAUGUGCCGAAGCUGCGGAUGUAUACUUUGUAUACGUGGUAGGGGAGCGUUCUGUAAGCCGAUGAAGGUGUGUUGAGAAGCAUGCUGGAGGUAUCAGAAGUGCGAAUGCUGACGUGAGUAACGACAAAACGGGUGAAAAACCCGUUCGCCGAAAGACCAAGGGUUCCAGUCCAACGUUAAUCGGGGCUGGGUGAGUCGACCCCUAAGGCGAGGCCGAAAGGCGUAGUCGAUGGGAAAAUGGUUAAUAUUCCAUUACUUCUGUGUAAUGCGAUGAGAGGACGGAGAAGGCUAAAUCAGCCUGGCGUUGGUUGUCCAGGUGAAAGGAAGUAGGCAUGUAUCUUAGGCAAAUCCGGGGUACUCUAUGCUGAGAUCUGAUAGCAAGCUGUACUUGUACAGCGAAGUGGUUGAUGCCAUGCUUCCAGGAAAAGUCUCUAAGCUUCAGUUACACAGGAAUCGUACCCGAAACCGACACAGGUGGUCAGGUCGAGUAGACCAAGGCGCUUGAGAGAACUCUGCUGAAGGAACUAGGCAAAAUGGUACCGUAACUUCGGGAGAAGGUACGCUGUUGUUGGUGAUGGAACUCGCUUCCUGAGCUGACGACAGCCGCAGAAACCAGGCCGCUGCAACUGUUUAUUAAAAACAUAGCACUCUGCAAACACGAAAGUGGACGUAUAGGGUGUGAUGCCUGCCCGGUGCUGGAAGGUUAAUUGAUGGGGUUAGCGUAAGCGAAGCUCUUGAUCGAAGCCCCAGUAAACGGCGGCCGUAACUAUAACGGUCCUAAGGUAGCGAAAUUCCUUGUCGGGUAAGUUCCGACCUGCACGAAUGGCAUAAUGAUGGCGGCGCUGUCUCCAGCAGAGGCUCAGUGAAAUCGAAAUCGCUGUGAAGAUGCAGUGUACCCGCGGCUAGACGGAAAGACCCCGUGAACCUUUACUGCAGCUUGACACUGAACUUUGACCUUACUUGUGUAGGAUAGGUGGGAGGCUUUGAAGCUGGAACGCUAGUUCCAGUGGAGCCGUCCUUGAAAUACCACCCUGGUAAUGUUGAGGUUCUAACUCUGUCCCGUGAUCCGGGACGAGGACCGUGUCUGGUGGGUAGUUUGACUGGGGCGGUCUCCUCCUAAAGAGUAACGGAGGAGUACGAAGGUGCGCUCAGCGUGGUCGGAAAUCACGCGUAGAGUAUAAAGGCAAAAGCGCGCUUAACUGCGAGACCCACAAGUCGAGCAGGUACGAAAGUAGGUCUUAGUGAUCCGGUGGUUCUGUAUGGAAGGGCCAUCGCUCAACGGAUAAAAGGUACUCUGGGGAUAACAGGCUGAUACCGCCCAAGAGUUCAUAUCGACGGCGGUGUUUGGCACCUCGAUGUCGGCUCAUCUCAUCCUGGGGCUGAAGCAGGUCCCAAGGGUAUGGCUGUUCGCCAUUUAAAGAGGUACGCGAGCUGGGUUUAGAACGUCGUGAGACAGUUCGGUCCCUAUCUACCGUGGGCGCUGGAAAUUUGAGAGGAUCUGCUCCUAGUACGAGAGGACCAGAGUGGACGAACCUCUGGUGUACCGGUUGUGACGCCAGUCGCAUCGCCGGGUAGCUAUGUUCGGAAGGGAUAACCGCUGAAAGCAUCUAAGCGGGAAGCCUACCUCAAGAUAAGAUUUCCCUAGGACUUUAUGUCCUCUAAAGAGCCGUUCGAGACUAGGACGUUGAUAGGUUGGAUGUGGAAGCAUAGUGAUAUGUGAAGCUGACCAAUACUAAUUGCUCGUGAGGCUUGACUAU